CAGCUCCCACCUAUAGAGGUCCGCUACAGGCUACUACUGUCUGACCCAUACCAUAAUAAUAUUUUAUAGCCCAAUCUCCGAAGUGGCACUCGCGGGGCAGUAUCCCAACCGAGUAUAGUAUCACUGCCAAACUCAAUAUAGCAUGCAAACUGUGAUAAAAUGCGAUAAUCAAACAGAUCAUAAUAAUACUGUCAUAGUAUCCAAAAUACAAUUAUAGUCUCGUAUUACCUGUAACUCUCUAUUAACCUUUACAAAAAUAUCAUACAUAUAUAUAUAUAGUAUGUGUUGUGUGCUAUUAGGAACAUGGAGGCCUCCGUACUCCUAAGUCGUUUUCGAUGAUGAAGUUUCUGUAUCGACGAUCGGCUCCGUUAGACUUGAUAUAGCAUAUUUGAACUAUCUAGAAAAUAAAUUUUGUGAUUUUUCGUUAUCAUUUACCUACUGAUCGAAAGGGUUCAAAAUUAAUAAUUUUUAAUGGUUAAUGUAUAGCGUUUGCAAGUUUAACGGUGUAGAACUAUUCAAAUUAGAUGAAAUUUUGAUAAAAAUUUUUUUAUACUAUUUACAUCAAGAUCAAAUCAAUAUAUCUGAUCGAAAAUUUUAAUGUUAUAUCACUACUUUUUGUGAUAUUUUUAUUUUUCGCCGUUGAUUUUGAA
Molecule: long non-coding RNA, 650 nt
Filed under: Ananas comosus (pineapple)
Lineage: Eukaryota; Viridiplantae; Streptophyta; Magnoliopsida; Poales; Bromeliaceae
Description: long non-coding RNA (ACOM_LNC029370)
Source: RNAcentral